RNAcentral lists this ribosomal RNA (539 nucleotides) under uncultured Glomeromycotina. RNAcentral's name for it is "SSU rRNA". It matches the Rfam family "Eukaryotic small subunit ribosomal RNA", at positions 552 to 1096 of the family's 1831-position model. Lineage: Eukaryota; Fungi; Glomeromycota. The record is from RNAcentral.
AGGGCAAGUCUGGUGCCAGCAGCCGCGGUAAUUCCAGCUCCAAUAGCGUAUAUUAAAGUUGUUGCAGUUAAAAAGCUCGUAGUUGAAUUUCGGGGUUCUACCGUUGGUCGGGCUAUUGUCUGUACUGGCGUGUAGAAUUUCUACCUUCUGGAGAACUAUCAUGUUAUUAAUUUAGCGUGGUAGGAAACCAGGACCUUUACCUUGAAAAAAUUAGAGUGUUCAAAGCAGGCUUAUGUCUGAAUACAUUAGCAUGGAAUAAUAAAAUAGGACGGUGGUCCUGUUUUGUUGGUUUCUGAAUCACCGUAAUGAUUAAUAGGGAUAGUUGGGGGCAUUAGUAUUCAAUUGUCAGAGGUGAAAUUCUUGGAUUUAUUGAAGACUAACUACUGCGAAAGCAUUUGCCAAGGAUGUUUUCAUUAAUCAAGAACAAAAGUUAGGGGAUCGAAGACGAUCAGAUACCGUCGUAGUCUUAACCAUAAACUAUGCCGACUAGGGAUCGGACGAUGUUAACUUUUCUUGACUCGUUCGGCGCCUUACGGGAA